This 301-nucleotide ribosomal RNA is filed under the name uncultured bacterium. RNAcentral's name for it is "partial 16S ribosomal RNA". It matches the Rfam family "Bacterial small subunit ribosomal RNA", at positions 509 to 807 of the family's 1533-position model. The record is from RNAcentral.
CAGUCGCCGCGGGAAUACGUAGGGUGCAAGCGUUAAUCGGAAUUACUGGGCGUAAAGCGUGCGCAGGCGGUUUUGUAAGACAGAGGUGAAAUCCCCGGGCUCAACCUGGGAACUGCCUUUGUGACUGCAAGGCUGGAGUGCGGCAGAGGGGGAUGGAAUUCCGCGUGUAGCAGUGAAAUGCGUAGAUAUGCGGAGGAACACCGAUGGCGAAGGCAAUCCCCUGGGCCUGCACUGACGCUCAUGCACGAAAGCGUGGGGAGCAAACAGGAUUAGAUACCCCUGUAGUCCCUGUCUCUUAUAC